RNAcentral lists this transfer RNA (78 nucleotides) under Culex quinquefasciatus (southern house mosquito). RNAcentral describes it as "tRNA-Thr". It matches the Rfam family "tRNA". Rfam says of the family: Transfer RNA (tRNA) molecules are approximately 80 nucleotides in length. Lineage: Eukaryota; Metazoa; Arthropoda; Insecta; Diptera; Culicidae. The record is from RNAcentral.
GGGAGCAGUUGUGGCUGAAUGGUUACGAUGUUCGCUUUGUAAGCGAAUGGUACUGGGUUCGAUUCCCAUUUGCUCCCA